CGGCAUCACGAGGAUUCUACUGUCUCCCUCUUUUAAUCAGUGAAACUGAACUCUCCGUGAAGAAGCGGAGAUGAACAUAUAAGACGAGAAGACCCCAUGGAGCUUUAAACCCAGCAACACCUAUUUUUUAUAAAUCCUCAUAUACGCUUAAUCACUGUUUGCUUGGUUUUAGGUUGGGGUGACCAUGGAGCAUAAAAAACCCUCCACGAAAAAAGAACUAAUAAUUCUUAUCUAAGAAAUACACCUCUAAGAAUUUACACAUUAAUUUUUAAUGAUCCGAUAUUCGAUCAACGAACCAAGUUACCCUGGGGAUAACAGCGCAAUCUACUUUGAGAGCCCCUAUCGACAAGUGGGUUUACGACCUCGAUGUUGGAUCAGGGUGUCCUAGUGGUGCAACAGCUACUAAAGGUUCGUUUGUUCAACGAUUAAAACCCU
RNAcentral lists this ribosomal RNA (435 nucleotides) under Boophis viridis. RNAcentral's name for it is "partial 16S ribosomal RNA". It matches the Rfam family "Bacterial large subunit ribosomal RNA", at positions 1997 to 2597 of the family's 2925-position model. The record is from RNAcentral. Lineage: Eukaryota; Metazoa; Chordata; Amphibia; Anura; Mantellidae.